This 152-nucleotide unclassified non-coding RNA is filed under the name uncultured Preussia. RNAcentral describes it as "sequence contains ITS2". The record is from RNAcentral. Lineage: Eukaryota; Fungi; Ascomycota; Dothideomycetes; Pleosporales; Sporormiaceae.
AAAAAUUCAAGCUCAGCUUGGUGUUGGGUGUUUGUCCCGCCCUGGUGCGCGGACUCGCCUCAAAAGCAUUGGCAGCCGGUACGUUGGCUUUGAGCGCAGCAGAUUUGCGACUCGGUGCCUGGCGGACUGGCUCUCCAGAAGCCCCCUUUAAA